RNAcentral lists this long non-coding RNA (1567 nucleotides) under Bos taurus (domestic cattle). RNAcentral's name for it is "long non-coding RNA NONBTAT031097". Lineage: Eukaryota; Metazoa; Chordata; Mammalia; Artiodactyla; Bovidae. The record is from RNAcentral.
GACUUAAAAAAUGUUUUUUCAUUAUAAGUGCUACUAAUAAUUAUUAUUGAAAUGAAACUGGACUUACAAGACUCUAGAAACAGGGUUGGUCAUUUCAUAAACCGGUCCAGAAACUGGGCCCCCUUCUAAACAUACCCAUGAAAUAUUAUUUAAAGUAGGUAUGUCUGAGCUUAUCUAGAACUGCUCACAAACUUCUUUUGUAUUUGGAGAAUAUAGAUGACUCCAAAUUCAAAGGAAGUCUUUAAGACUGUUAGCUGAAUAAAUCAGUGAAAGUUAUAUACUGACAAUAAAUAUCAGGAAGUUAAAUAUAUUCUAAAGAACUUGAAAUUUUACACUUAUUGAUGCAGGCACACAUAUAUAUAAUUUUUUUCCCCAAGAAUUCUACUAAGACAUCAAAAUCCAGUCAGGCACGUUAGGAUUUGCCAGGAUAAACCUACACUCAUCUUCUUUCUCCCCCUGACUAACAUUGAAUUUUGCCCAAAAUGAGUAAGCAAAUGGAAAGAUGACCUCAUUUUUCAGUCUGAACACAGCAGUGUUGGGGGAUAUUUCUCAAGGAUAUGACUUCAGUACUAGAUCUUAGUUCCAAAUGCAGGUUCAUUUGGCCAAUCUGUAGAGGACAGGAGGGUAGAGAGCAUCCUUCUGAGGACACCUAUUAAAAGAGGGGCUCUCUAGUAAGGCCAGCUCCCACAGCUAAGUCACAGGCACAGAAUAUAGCUUUCUGCUCUCUGGUCGAGGCAGCCAUAGCAUCCUUAUUGUUGUAACUCCCAGAUUGUGAUACUGUCACAAAACUGUUGCUAGGCAACAAAUGUGGUUACCAGGACUCAGCGAAUAGCUGAAGGGGAAAGCAAAGUGUUGCACCAUUGUAGAGUAACCAUAGCAAUGACCUACUAUUACAGACUAAAGAAUUAUCAUUAACAAUGUUAAAGUAUCAGACAGAGGCCCCGAAUCCAGAGACUUCCAGGCAGUGUCCCUCUGCAUAAUUGAGUGAUCUAGGAAGCGAUUUCAACCGUUUCAAAGCUAUUCACUCAUUAUUUCUAGGGGGACAGUCUUUGUUGCUGUCAUUUUUUUGUUUGUUUGUUUAAAAAGUGUUCCGUUUAUACAGCUAUUAGUAAAACGAUGUAAGCUAUCCCAAGGAGUCAAAAACAGGUUAACGGCCUCAUCUCUUCUGUCUACAUCAAUGUUAUUAUUAUUAUUAUUUUGGUCUGUCUCAAACUGAAGAUUUUAUUAAAAAAAAAAAAAAACAAAUUUACAUUAGCAUGAAACUGAAGCCCACAGAAAAGAAGCUGUAGUAAAAUAAAAGAGCUCCAUAAACUGACCACUUAACUUUCAUUUGGUGAGUUGCAUUCCUCCUGACAACAUAGGGGGGCCUAGAGGCUGUUUUACUAGUGACUGCCUUGAAACACUGAGGGGUUUUGUUUAGCUUCUGUAAAACUGUCCCCUAAGAUCUGUUAAAAAAAAAAAAGGAAAAGAAAAAACACGUAAGCUGCUGGGACACUAAACUCGGACGUGUUUGCUUCUCUCGGAAAGCAAAGAACCGUGAGUGCUCCGCGGUGGGUGCGGCCGCGGC